Long non-coding RNA from Dreissena polymorpha, 1163 nucleotides. RefSeq lists it as uncharacterized. The record is from RefSeq and is a predicted model, not a curated record. The transcript is spliced from 3 exons. Lineage: Eukaryota; Metazoa; Mollusca; Bivalvia; Myida; Dreissenidae.
ACAAAGUGUAAAUGUUGUGUACAGGGAAUUAUUGUGGUUGUUUUUUAUGAUUAUUGUCAUCUUUAUUGUUAUUUAUAGAUACUUCUGGUUAUUACUGAACAGAUUUCUUUCCCUCAUAUUUUAAUUUUGAAGGUUAAAUUCUUGCCCCAAGAGCAAAAGUGGUAAUCAUACUACUUGAUGUAUGGACUUUUACACCAGGCUUUUACCCUGCACGAGCUGGCCAACUUGAGGGGAACUGAAGUGGGCAAACCUCGCCCUGUCCUUGAACAAGAAAGCUGGAUUUGUUGAGAGAGUAUCAUUUAAGCUGAAAUCCAGCAUGAAACCAGGGAGGCGAUGGCCAUCGCACAGGCCAUGUGCCGACUAUUCACUUUUCACCAGCUUGUGACUUGCUCCAUGAAGGGAGCAACAACUACAACUGGGUCACCAAGACCAAGCCUCCCCGCUGCUGAGAGAAAUGCAAUCAUUGAUGUCAUAGCCAAAACCUUUUACAAGCCUCUGGUUGAUGUUGAAGAAAAGAUGAGAGGUUGUUUAAGGCAUCUGCGGCUGAUGCACAAGUAGACUGAAGUCUUUGUAAAUAAAAUGUGCUGUUAAAAUGAUUAUUUAACCAUUGUUUUCACUUUGUUAUAUAGAUUUGCACCUGUUUCAACAACAUUAACUUAUUUUUAUGCUCCCGGUAGGGUCUCAUAUAGCAGUUGAACUGUCCGUCUGUCUGUCUAUCCGUCCGAAAACUUUAGCAUUGGUCAUAACUUUUGCAAUAUUGAAGAAAGCAACUUGACAUUUAGCAUGCAUGUGUAUCUCAUUGAGCUGCACAUUUUGAGUGGUGCAAGGUCAAGGGCAUCCUUCAAGGUCAGAGGUCAAAAUCCACUGGAAUAAAUAAGCAAAGAGAGAUAAUUUCUAUACUUGCCAAAUGAUAAAUAGAAAUUUUAUUUCAAAGCGGCGCAGAAGGGGGCAUUGUGUUUCUGACAAACACAUCUCUUGUUUGUAUUUAUUCCAUACAAUCUUACUUUUUUCAGUUCUUUCUUUGUGUUCAAUGUUAUGUUAUAACACUAUUAUAUUUUAUUAUAACAAUGCCAUGUCUGUCAAAAUAGUUUUAUCAUGCUGUGUAUAUGGAUAUAUAUGUAAAGUUUUAUGUUUUAUCGUUUAAAAAAGUAAUUAGAAUUUAA